AAAAGCUAGAAGAACCCCCAUUUUCGCAGCUAUGUUUCAGCAAAGAGUCACCUUAGCAAAACGGACGUAUCUCUCAAUCCAACCGUUGGAUCGUUGCGGUACUUGGACACAACGUUCCUGACCCAUAGAGGUGUGUCUCCUAGUGAUGUUAGAAAGGAUUUCUUUUGGAGAAAAGCUUAGAGCUAUGGUGAAAGAGUCCAUAUUUACCAAGGUACUCAAGUAUAGCUGUGGAAGUUUGUAGAUUCACCGUGUCUGGUUGGUGUGUCGCUCUGAUACGUAGCACUCGGGGG
Long non-coding RNA from Vicia villosa (hairy vetch), 290 nucleotides. RefSeq lists it as uncharacterized. The record is from RefSeq and is a predicted model, not a curated record. Lineage: Eukaryota; Viridiplantae; Streptophyta; Magnoliopsida; Fabales; Fabaceae. The transcript has 3 exons.